Molecule: ribosomal RNA, 243 nt
Filed under: uncultured Staphylococcus sp.
Lineage: Bacteria; Bacillati; Bacillota; Bacilli; Caryophanales; Staphylococcaceae
Description: partial 16S ribosomal RNA
Rfam family: Bacterial small subunit ribosomal RNA
Source: RNAcentral
CGGCGGACGGGUGAGUAACACGUGGAUAACCUACCUAUAAGACUGGGAUAACUUCGGGAAACCGAGCUAAUACCGGAUAAUAUAUUGAACCGCAUGGUUCAAUAGUGGAAGACGGUUUUGCUGUCACUUAUAGAUGGAUCCGCGCCGCAUUAGCUAGUUGGUAAGGUAACGGCUUACCAAGGCAACGAUGCGUAGCCGACCUGAGAGGGUGAUCGGCCACACUGGAACUGAGACACGGUCCAG